GACGAACGCUGGCGGCGUGCUUAACACAUGCAAGUCGAACGGAAAGGCCCUGCUUUUGUGGGGUGCUCGAGUGGCGAACGGGUGAGUAACACGUGAGUAACCUGCCCUUGACUUUGGGAUAACUUCAGGAAACUGGGGCUAAUACCGGAUAGGAGCUCCUGCUGCAUGGUGGGGUUUGGAAAGUUUCGGCGGUUGGGGAUGUACUCGCGGCUUAUCAGCUUGUUGGUGGGGUAGUGGCUUACCAAGGCUUCGACGGGUAGCCGGCCUGAGAGGGUGACCGGCCACAUGGGGACUGAGAUACGGCCCAGACGCCUACGGGAGGCAGCAGUGGAGAAUAUUGCACAAUGGGGGGAAGCCUGAUGCGACAACGCCGCGUGCGGGAUGAAGGCCUUCGGGUUGUAAACCGCUGUCGCCUGUGACGAAGCGUGAGUGACGGUAAUGGGUAAAGAAGCACCGGCUAACUACGUG
This 468-nucleotide ribosomal RNA is filed under the name uncultured bacterium. RNAcentral describes it as "partial 16S ribosomal RNA". It matches the Rfam family "Bacterial small subunit ribosomal RNA", at positions 28 to 507 of the family's 1533-position model. The record is from RNAcentral.